RNAcentral lists this ribosomal RNA (449 nucleotides) under uncultured bacterium. RNAcentral describes it as "partial 16S ribosomal RNA". It matches the Rfam family "Bacterial small subunit ribosomal RNA", at positions 29 to 523 of the family's 1533-position model. The record is from RNAcentral.
AACGAACGCUGGCGGCAUGCCUAACACAUGCAAGUCGAACGAGAUCUUCGGGUCUAGUGGCGCACGGGUGCGUAACGCGUGGGAAUCUGCCCUUUGGUUCGGAAUAACAGUUGGAAACGACUGCUAAUACCGGAUGAUGACGAAAGUCCAAAGAUUUAUCGCCAGAGGAUGAGCCCGCGUAGGAUUAGCUAGUUGGUGUGGUAAAGGCGCACCAAGGCGACGAUCCUCAGCUGGUCUGAGAGGAUGAUCAGCCACACUGGGACUGAGACACGGACCAGACUCCUACCGGAGGGAGCAGUGUGUAAUAGUUGACAAUGGGGGAAAGCCUGAUCCAGCAUUGCCGCGUGAGUGAUGAAGGCCUGAGGGUUGUAAAGCUCUUUUACCCGGGAUGAUAAUGACAGUACCGGGAGAAUAAGCUCCGGCUAACUCCGUGCCAGCCGCCGCCGUAA